RNAcentral lists this ribosomal RNA (468 nucleotides) under uncultured bacterium. Its description in RNAcentral is "partial 16S ribosomal RNA". It matches the Rfam family "Bacterial small subunit ribosomal RNA", at positions 28 to 507 of the family's 1533-position model. The record is from RNAcentral.
GACGAACGCUGGCGGCGUGCUUAACACAUGCAAGUCGAACGGAAAGGCCCUGCUUUUGUGGGGUGCUCGAGUGGCGAACGGGUGAGUAACACGUGAGUAACCUGCCCUUGACUUUGGGAUAACUUCAGGAAACUGGGGCUAAUACCGGAUAGGAUCUCCUGCUGCAUGGUGGGGGUUGGAAAGUUUCGGCGGUUGGGGCUGUACUCGCGGCUUAUGAGCUUGUUGGUGGGGUAGUGGCUUACCAAGGCUUUGACGGGUAGCCGGCCUGAGAGGGUGACCGGCGUCAUUGGGACUGAGAUACGGACCAGACUCCUACGGGAGGCAGCAGUGGGGAAUAUUGCACAAUGGGCGGAAGCCUGAUGCAGCAACGCCGCGUGCGGGAUGACGGCCUUCGGGUUAUAAACCGAUUUCGCAUGUGACGAAGCGUGAGUGACGGUAAUGGGUAAAGAAGCACCGGCUAACUACGUG